This 1140-nucleotide ribosomal RNA is filed under the name uncultured Francisella sp. Its description in RNAcentral is "bacterial SSU rRNA". It matches the Rfam family "Bacterial small subunit ribosomal RNA", at positions 129 to 1268 of the family's 1533-position model. The record is from RNAcentral. Lineage: Bacteria; Pseudomonadati; Pseudomonadota; Gammaproteobacteria; Thiotrichales; Francisellaceae.
CCCAUUUGAGGGGGAUACCAGUUGGAAACGACUGUUAAUACCGCAUAAUAUCUGUGGAUUAAAGGUGGCUUUCGGGCUGUCGCAGAUGGAUGAGCCUGCGUUGGAUUAGCUAGUUGGUGGGGUAAGGGCCCACCAAGGCUACGAUCCAUAGCUGAUUUGAGAGGAUGAUCAGCCACAUUGGGACUGAGACACGGCCCAAACUCCUACGGGAGGCAGCAGUGGGGAAUAUUGGACAAUGGGGGCAACCCUGAUCCAGCAAUGCCAUGUGUGUGAAGAAGGCCCUAGGGUUGUAAAGCACUUUAGUUGGGGAGGAAAGCCUCAAGGUUAAUAGCCUUGGGGAGGACGUUACCCAAAGAAUAAGCACCGGCUAACUCCGUGCCAGCAGCCGCGGUAAUACGGGGGGUGCAAGCGUUAAUCGGAAUUACUGGGCGUAAAGGGUCUGUAGGUGGUUUGUUAAGUCAGAUGUGAAAGCCCAGGGCUCAACCUUGGAACUGCAUUUGAUACUGGCAAACUAGAGUACGGUAGAGGAAUGGGGAAUUUCUGGUGUAGCGGUGAAAUGCGUAGAGAUCAGAAGGAACACCAAUGGCGAAGGCAACAUUCUGGACCGAUACUGACACUGAGGGACGAAAGCGUGGGGAUCAAACAGGAUUAGAUACCCUGGUAGUCCACGCUAUAAACGAUGAGUACUAGCUGUUGGAGUCGGUGUAAAGGCUCUAGUGGCGCAGCUAACGCGAUAAGUACUCCGCCUGGGGACUACGGCCGCAAGGCUAAAACUCAAAGGAAUUGACGGGGACCCGCACAAGCGGUGGAGCAUGUGGUUUAAUUCGAUGCAACGCGAAGAACCUUACCUGGUCUUGACAUCCUGCGAACUUUCUAGAGAUAGAUUGGUGCCUUCGGGAACGCAGUGACAGGUGCUGCACGGCUGUCGUCAGCUCGUGUUGUGAAAUGUUGGGUUAAGUCCCGCAACGAGCGCAACCCCUAUUGAUAGUUACCAUCAUUAGGUUGGGUACUCUAUUGAGACUGCCGCUGACAAGGCGGAGGAAGGUGGGGACGACGUCAAGUCAUCAUGGCCCUUACGACCAGGGCUACACACGUGCUACAAUGGGUAUUACAGAGGGCUGCGAAGGUGCGAGCUGGAGC